GCAAGCCUGACGGAGCAAUGCCGCGUGAAGGAAGAAGGCCCGUGGGUUGUAAACUUCUUUUCUUAGAGAAGAAUCCGAGAGGAGGACGGUAUUUGAGGAAUAAGCAUCGGCUAACCCUGUGCCAGCAGCCGCGGUAAUACAGAGGAUGCAAGCGUUAUCCGGAAUGAUUGGGCGUAAAGGGUCUGUAGGUGGUUUUGACAGUCUGCUGUUAAAUCUCAGGGCUCAACCCUGUUAAGGCAGCAGAAACUACAAAUCUUGAGUACGGUAGGGGCAGAGGGAAUUCCCGGUGGAGUGGUGAAAUACGUAGAUCUCGGGAAGAACACCAAAGGCGAAAGCACUCUGCUGGGCCGAGACUGACACUGAGGGACGAAAGCUAG
This 377-nucleotide ribosomal RNA is filed under the name uncultured cyanobacterium. Its description in RNAcentral is "bacterial SSU rRNA". It matches the Rfam family "Bacterial small subunit ribosomal RNA", at positions 377 to 763 of the family's 1533-position model. The record is from RNAcentral. Lineage: Bacteria; Bacillati; Cyanobacteriota.